This is a long non-coding RNA of Coregonus clupeaformis (lake whitefish), 5879 nucleotides long. RefSeq lists it as uncharacterized. Lineage: Eukaryota; Metazoa; Chordata; Actinopteri; Salmoniformes; Salmonidae. The transcript has 3 exons. The record is from RefSeq and is a predicted model, not a curated record.
UUUUAAAAGGAAACGUCUUGAGAUACAUGAUCCAGGGACCGAUGCCAGGAUCAUGUAUUGUUGUCCAGAAUGGCCACAGGACAUGCUACGCAUGAGAUGUGCCAUAGGUGAGUCCUUUCUCGCCAAGAAGGAUGAAGCUUGGAUCAUCAUCACACACCACAAUGUCUACAGCCUACUGUCAUUGUCAACAUCCCAGCAUAUCACAGUAGACCAAAGGUGACACUUUGUGGGCAGUAAAAAUUAUAGGGAUGGAUGGCGAAGGCUUCUUUCCAUACAGCAACAACAACAGCAACAACCCAGACCAGGGCACAUACCUGAGAGGGAGAUUAGGGUUUAGGAGGUGGAGCAGGACUUUGAGAUGACAUGGCUAUAUUUAACCCAGUGCCCAGUGAAUGAUUGGUAUAAAUAGCUAACAGGAAGAUCUCCAGGUUGCAGAUUUACAGUAAAGGCAACAAUAUAAAAGGAAUAUAUUUUAUAGGAUUGGUCUUAUUGGUAUUUUUGAAACAGUAUUUAUGUCUACUAAAGUGUUGAUCUUGGUGUUGCAUCUUGUAGCACCAGUAGCAGGGGCGGAACCUGGCUUUAACCCAGUCCACUGGUAAACCCUCACACCAUUAGCCUACUGCUUCUGUUCCAUGUGUUUUACGUUGUGCUGGGUUGUUAAGUCUGGGGAUCUACUGACUGAGAGGAGACCAGAUCGUCACCUCUCUCAUCAAUACUCCUGCAUGUACCAUGUCUCCUCAGAGAACACAUGCUUUGAUCAGACAGAUCCCUUACAUAUCCUUGCUGCUGGCAGAGAGAGAGACGCAGUCCGGAGAUAAAGCUGAUUCUUUUACCGAUAGUCUCCUUCCCUUCCCACCAUGGUAAGAUGAACCCAAGGAGUGAAUGUUGAAGUGAACGCUCUCCCUCUCUUUCUCUCUCUUUAUCUCUAUCUGAACCUGAAAUGGGUCAAUGCAACAUACUGUCCUUACAAUAUGUAAUUGACUGUGUAUUGUUCAACUGUUCCUUGAUUGUCAGCCAUUUAUUAUCAUGUUAUUACUGUAUCAUCUUCAUCCAAGUCAAAGGUUGCUUAUUCAAUGCUCAGCCCAGUUGUGUUGGAGUGGUCAAACGUGAAAGAAAUCAAAUUACUUUACACUUAGUGGUCUCUAAGACAAAGCUUCCUUUACAGCCCAGAUAACAAAAGUGAGUUUCUACUCCGCGAGAGCUGUAGAUAGACGUGAUGUGGUAAGCCUUGUGGUGUGUAGCUAAACCUAAUGACGGUUAUUCAGCCCUGCCUAUGUCUGGUGGUAAGGGGUUCUCAUUGUAAUUCUCCAGCCAUAGCUAACACCAGCACACACAGACACUCCCCACAAUAACAGAAAUGACGAUCGUCACAACAGGCGAAAUUGGACAAUGAUUACAGGACUUUCUUUAAAAGGUACACUUUGAACAUCACAUUUUCCAGGUCCUCAGUCAUCUUCUGCUGCACCGAUUGUUCCCAUGAUUGCAGUAGGUCUGUUUUGAAUAUUGAUGUUGUAAUAUCUUGAUGGUUCCUUGUUGGCCCACUUUCAUCUCCUAUAAACGAGAUGCUACUGUAUGUAAGAGGCUUAUGUACCUCUCUGUUUUGGUUUUUCUCUUGUUUGUCUGAUGAUGUGCCUUUUAAAACAAGUGGCUAGUCAGGUGACAAAGGAGAGGAGGCUCGUCUCUGUCAGCUUAGCUCUCAGCUGAGAGAGAGAGAGACCCAAUUGAAAGGGGACACGGGGGAAAAUGGGGACACAGGAUCCGUCACGGUCAGAGAGAAAUGGGUGGACAGAGUGGGAGGUGGCAACAAGGUCUCUUUAACUGCAGCCCUAGCUAGCUGUGCUCAGCUGUCUGUUUGGCAGCCAGCAGUGUGUUGCUGGGUCGAGUCGUUCAAGAAGCUGCUGCCUGCGUUAGUGUAUGUAGCCACAACAGUAGCAGCAGAGAAAGCCCUGAAAAUGAGUGCUGCGUCACACCGAUCGAGGAAGAGAAAUAGAGAGUGAUUGUAAACCGUUGUGGCGAGCUGUUUGUGUGUGUGGUCUGAUCUGUUGGCGUAUAUCUGUGUCAAUGCAAAACUAACUGUCUGAAAGAGAAAUUCUGCUGUUGCAACGAGAUGAAAAUAGUGUGCGUGUGUCUGAGGCAGGCAGGGAGGGAGGGAGUCAGAGAGAGAGAUUUUGGAUUAGUUGCUACGUCACUUUUUCACGUCGAGGGGGGAAACAGAAGCUAAGAUAAUAGAAGCCUGCAGUCAUCCAGUUUUCUACCUGAGAGUUGGACGCAAUGGUUACGGCGUGAACCCCUGCCUCCUCAGCCUCAUCCAUAGUGCAUGUUACCUGCUUCUCCCUCAGCCUCUACAUCUGUGUAGUAGUUAGGCUGGGAUCGUCAGAGAAGACUUCCAACAUGGAUGCUGAAGAUGUGACAGUUAGUUAGUGUGGGUGUUUGGUGUUUUGAUGGCAUUGUGAGGUCGGAGUAGGGGGUGGGAAGGAGUGAGGCAAAGGGGUCAUCGAAAGAACGUUCUGGAAGGUUCUUAAUGUCAAGACGACGCACGUUGGGGAGCGUAUUCAGAGAAUUAUCGAGGUAAUCGAAUAUUGCUAUUAUAUGAUUACAUAUAUACAAAUAAAUUAUUACAUACAUUAUUACGUAGAUAUAGAUAUGUGUGAUGUGUUGUCUGUCCUUAUACAAAACCACAUAGUAACCGGUAUGGAGCUAGUCGGCAGUAAUAUGUUGUCAUCAGGAUACCUUUUCUCCCAUAGUAUCUGCUAUAAGGUGCGAACCAGGCGAUACAGUUUGUUCAUAUUGCUACUCAGCAUAUUUGUGUGUUUUUACUUUCAACUUGUUGUGAUUAACUCUUCAUAGGGUCGAAGGCAGGAAGGAGGAUGAGUAAACCGGGAUCGAGUAAACCUGGGCUUAUUUUGUUAUUAGGGAAGCCAACAGGAGACCUAUUUGGAGCCUUUAUCUUGUAGCAGAUCAGUAUUAUCAUGUGAUUUGUUUUCAGUCUCUAGGGCCACUGGCUGGGGUUUAGUGGAAACCCUCCCUGAGACAUUUGUUUCUGCGUAGUUAGUAGAGACCGAAACACUGGUGGUGACGCAGUCCUCUACUGAGCUGUACUUCUACGACAGCAUGGCUGGCCCUGUGUUUUUCUCUCUCUUGUUCUCUCGACCCCAUGUAGCUCUCCCUCUUGUUCUUUCUCUCUCGUUCUCUCUCUCCCUCUUGUUCUCUCUCUCUAUCUCUGGGGGGGGAGUGAGGGAGCAGCAAAUGGGGUCUAAAUGUCAUGGCUCGAGUUCAGAGAGAGAGAAAGAGAGGGAGAGAAAGAGGGAGGGAGGGGGAGACAGAGUGAGAGAGCGAAACAGAGAGGGAGAAAUGUUUUACCUUGCUCUCUUGGUAACUCUGCAUUGGCAGCUCUCCAGUUCACAUUCACUAGACUUCCUAAAGCUGCUGCAUCACAGGCCCCAGUGCCAGAGCUGGCCUCCCAUUGAGUGGGAGGAGCUCCCUAGACUCUGCUGGCAGCACAAUGCUAUUGGAAGAGCACAAGGGAGCCAGGUGGAGGGCAGCUUCUGAUUGAUGGAUACGUUUUUUUAAAGAUGUUGUAUGUUCUAUAGGGGUUCUAAUGAAAUGUGUACAGUUACAGUACAUGGUUUUGUUUUACAUUAUUGUUUCUUAUCUAUGGCACAUUUAGCUUUAUGUACUCUAUAUUAGAAUAUAUUAUAUUAUUGUUUGUCCUAUGCUGAAAGGAGUGGAAACAUUAUGUGCACUGUAGGUAAACACAUGAGUGUGUAUCUGUUUACUAGGUUCCAGUAAUGUCUUGUGUAAUGUGUUCUCAUAGUCUGAUUGGUUUGUAUUCUAUGUUGCUGACAUUGAUCAGCUCCUGUUUGUUUCCUGUGACGCUGGGGGCCAACCACAGCCCACUUCCUGCUCUGUCCAGCUUCUCCUCCCCUUCCCUUCCCAGAGAAGCCAACUUCUCAGUCUCUCAGUAGUGUUUGGUUUGGUUGCUGUAGUACGGUUACCGUCCGUGAGACAGAGGGUUCUGUAAACUGACAUUCUGUGAUGUCACAAACCUGCCACAUUGGCAAUUUCUAAAUUGAUGGAAGAACAACUGUUUGCCAAGGGUCUGCAUUGCAGCUGCUGCCUCUGCAGUUGGCGCCACUCUUUCCCUCUCAGAAACACACGCGCACACACACUCGUAUUCACGAAAUGAAGGCAAUACACACACACACACACACACACACACUGAGUCUGUCUAAUGCCCUCAUCUCUGAGGUUGAGGGUGCCAUAUCCCGGCGGCACCCCAUGGAGAUAAUUUGUUAUAAAUGAGGACGCAACAGGAGAGGGUUAGCCUGCCAGUAUGUGGUGGAUAUAACACACACACACACACACACACACACACAGCAUAUCAUAAGAAGGGCACAGGGAGGACACCCAUACUUUAGUGUGUGUGUCGCUUUCUUUUCUCAUUAAUAGGUAACGUGAUACUGCUUUUUUAAUAGAUAUCUAUUAUCACUUUGUCAUGGUAGAAUGAUUUGAUCCUGAAUGGGUGAAAGUCUUUAAUCUCCAUUAAUAGUCACUUCAGGGUGUAAUAUAAUAUCACUCCUAUGCAUGUGUUCAAACCCCCUGUUUGGAUGGGGUCUACACAGAUUAAGACCACCAUAGUGUGAAAAUAAUUAAAAACAUUGAUUUAGGCUUUAGGCUAUAUACUCUACAUUUGGCUUAUACUUUGGGUUUAAUUUAGUUUUGAUGGUGUUUCUUGAUCAGGGUGAACUGGCUAGAUUGAUUAGAUUGAAAAUAAUGCUGUUGAAAAUGUAUUUAAGCAUAAGUCCAUCUAGGCAAGCCAGUGCUGUCUGUGUUGUUUUGGACUGCACAUGGAAAGGCUCCUGUCCCUUUAACUAUUUUAUAAACAUUACACAAUAGGUCCAGGGAACACAGGCAACAAACAAACCAAAAAAGAAAUCUGCCUGCCAGGGUAGGGUUCAGCCAGGGAGGAACCAGACACCCUACUGAUCAGUCUGACCUGUCACGGUGGCCAAUGAGACAGAGUUCCCAUGACUCACUAGCUAACUCCUGAACAUAUUGUCCAGUCUGUCUAUAGGUCAGAUUGAUAAGGGCAGUAGGGCGCCAGGGUCUUUGCUCUUCCUCUCAUUGUGGAAAUCAAAGCAAAUAUGCAUUUUAAAUAGAAGAAGAAAAAACGGAGGGAAUAUUUUGGCAGGAGCCUUACUUCCCUGACCCUCUUCUAAUCAGUUAAAGUACAAGGAGUGUUUGUGGGCAUUGUCGAAGAGAGGGAGGGGUGUAGCUGAGAGAAUAGAACAGAGAGAGUUAGAUGUUGAAUUACAUAGAGGGUAGAAGGGUAUUUUGGGGGAGAGGUUGGGCAGUUUUGUAUUUCGCCUAGCUAAUCAGUUGGCACCACUGUAAGUCAGUGAGUUGGCCACUGCCUAUUACCACGCCCUUACAUUGUGUCUGCGUCAUGGCUCUCUCCCUGACAGAAUCUACCUGCCACUUCCUUGGUUUUCUCCAUAAUGGCGGUGGUAGAGAGCUGUGAGUGUGAAUACCACACCACUGUGAGUCAAAGUGAAGGGGACCGAAGUCAACGGCCCAGCCAGCAUCUGUCUCUGUCUUCAGGGCUGCAGGUAAAACUGUAGAUUUUUUUUUAAAUAUGUUGACUUGGCAUGUGUUGUUGUGUGUUGCUCCGCUCCAAGCAGAUCUUCGUUUGGAUCAAGUUUCAGGUUUGCUAGAAGGAGGUAGUAUGUGUGGUGUUCUCUCUAUGGUUUUACAGCUCUCUCUUUUUCUAUCUAUUAGUGAUGGGAGAAGAAAAUCAAUACAGUUUCAUAUCUGAAUAUUAUUUUUUACAAAACUGUAUAUCGUAUCGUUUUGACAAUGUCGCAAUAUUAUUUUUGCGC